UUACUCCAAAAAACACGUUAUGACAGUAGUUGAAUUUUGAAGAAAAAAAUGUGAACCAUUGACGAAAAAUGUAAAAGUUUAUAUUUCAGCCCAACAAGAUUUUCAUUUCAAAUUAAGAAUAGUACAAUUCAAUUUAAAAAAAUUAAUUUUGAACCAAAAAGAAUGAUUUCCUACCAUUGGGCUUCUUUGAAGGCAUUUUAUAAUUGUCAUUGUUUGAAGCACUGGGAAGACGCAAUUGGUGUGCAUUAUUGCAUUACCUCAGAUGGGUGUUUCUGACGCCAAGAAGCGGAAUCGUGGCAAGAACAAAAUUUAAAUAAUAAUGUAUUACAAUUUCUUCAGAAGACCUUUCACAAUUUAAAUAAAUUUAAGCUGUUGAACUGCAUUAAGACAACCAACCCAUAGAUGAACGUUUCUUCCUCACUGAACCUUUUGAUUAUCAUGAUAGUUACUUAUAUUAUUGGAAGCUACCAGAAUAAUUUUAUUUUAGU
Long non-coding RNA from Belonocnema kinseyi, 488 nucleotides. RefSeq lists it as uncharacterized. Lineage: Eukaryota; Metazoa; Arthropoda; Insecta; Hymenoptera; Cynipidae. The transcript is spliced from 3 exons. The record is from RefSeq and is a predicted model, not a curated record.